RNAcentral lists this ribosomal RNA (476 nucleotides) under Erysipelotrichaceae bacterium canine oral taxon 255. Its description in RNAcentral is "bacterial SSU rRNA". It matches the Rfam family "Bacterial small subunit ribosomal RNA", at positions 9 to 468 of the family's 1533-position model. Lineage: Bacteria; Bacillati; Bacillota; Erysipelotrichia; Erysipelotrichales; Erysipelotrichaceae. The record is from RNAcentral.
GAGUUUGAUUAUGGCUCAGGAUGAACGCUGGCGGCGUGCUUAAUACAUGCAAGUCGAACGAAGUAUUUUUGAAGCUUGCUUUAAAAAUGCUUAGUGGCGAACGGGUGAGUAAUACAUAAGCAACCUGCCUAUAAGACUGGGAUAACUAUUGGAAACGAUAGCUAAUACCGGAUAGGUAAAUAGAAGGCAUCUUCUAUUUAUUAAAGUUGGGUUUCCAACACUUAUAGAUGGGCUUAUGGUGUAUUAGCUAGUUGGUGAGGUAACUGCUCACCAAGGCGAUGAUACAUAGCCGGCCUGAGAGGGUGAACGGCCACAUUGGGACUGAGACACGGCCCAAACUCCUACGGGAGGCAGCAGUAAGGAAUUUUCGGCAAUGGGCGAAAGCCUGACCGAGCAACGCCGCGUGAGUGAUGAAGGCCUUCGGGUUGUAAAGCUCUGUUGUAAAGGAAGAAACAGAUGAAUUAGGAAAUGAAUUC